GUGCUUACUUUGGCAGUACAUAUACUAAAAUUGGAAUGAUAUAGAGAAGGUUAGCAUGGCCCACGCACAAGGAUGACAUGCAAAUUCUUGACCAUUCCAUAUAGUU
Cebus imitator (Panamanian white-faced capuchin) is the source of this 106-nucleotide small nuclear RNA. The record is from Ensembl. Lineage: Eukaryota; Metazoa; Chordata; Mammalia; Primates; Cebidae.